RNAcentral lists this ribosomal RNA (253 nucleotides) under uncultured bacterium. RNAcentral's name for it is "partial 16S ribosomal RNA". It matches the Rfam family "Bacterial small subunit ribosomal RNA", at positions 524 to 776 of the family's 1533-position model. The record is from RNAcentral.
UACAGAGGAUGCAAGCGUUAUCCGGAAUGAUUGGGCGUAAAGCGUCUGUAGGCGGCUUUUUAAGUCCGCCGUCAAAUCCCAGGGCUCAACUCUGGACAGGCGGUGGAAACUACCAAGCUUGAGUACGGUAGGGGCAGAGGGAAUUUCCGGUGGAGCGGUGAAAUGCGUAGAGAUCGGAAAGAACACCAACGGCGAAAGCGCUCUGCUGGGCCGACACUGACACUGAGAGACGAAAGCUAGGGGAGCGAAUGGG